RNAcentral lists this ribosomal RNA (830 nucleotides) under Bacillus mojavensis. RNAcentral's name for it is "bacterial SSU rRNA". It matches the Rfam family "Bacterial small subunit ribosomal RNA", at positions 62 to 873 of the family's 1533-position model. The record is from RNAcentral. Lineage: Bacteria; Bacillati; Bacillota; Bacilli; Caryophanales; Bacillaceae.
UCGAGCGGACAGAUGGGAGCUUGCUCCCUGAUGUUAGCGGCGGACGGGUGAGUAACACGUGGGUAACCUGCCUGUAAGACUGGGAUAACUCCGGGAAACCGGGGCUAAUACCGGAUGCUUGUUUGAACCGCAUGGUUCAAACAUAAAAGGUGGCUUCGGCUACCACUUACAGAUGGACCCGCGGCGCAUUAGCUAGUUGGUGAGGUAACGGCUCACCAAGGCAACGAUGCGUAGCCGACCUGAGAGGGUGAUCGGCCACACUGGGACUGAGACACGGCCCAGACUCCUACGGGAGGCAGCAGUAGGGAAUCUUCCGCAAUGGACGAAAGUCUGACGGAGCAACGCCGCGUGAGUGAUGAAGGUUUUCGGAUCGUAAAGCUCUGUUGUUAGGGAAGAACAAGUACCGUUCAAAUAGGGCGGUACCUUGACGGUACCUAACCAGAAAGCCACGGCUAACUACGUGCCAGCAGCCGCGGUAAUACGUAGGUGGCAAGCGUUGUCCGGAAUUAUUGGGCGUAAAGGGCUCGCAGGCGGUUCCUUAAGUCUGAUGUGAAAGCCCCCGGCUCAACCGGGGAGGGUCAUUGGAAACUGGGGAACUUGAGUGCAGAAGAGGAGAGUGGAAUUCCACGUGUAGCGGUGAAAUGCGUAGAGAUGUGGAGGAACACCAGUGGCGAAGGCGACUCUCUGGUCUGUAACUGACGCUGAGGAGCGAAAGCGUGGGGAGCGAACAGGAUUAGAUACCCUGGUAGUCCACGCCGUAAACGAUGAGUGCUAAGUGUUAGGGGGUUUCCGCCCCUUAGUGCUGCAGCUAACGCAUUAAGCACUCCGCC